ACACACCUCAACUCUCGUGGUUUGCUACGACGAGCUUGGACUUUGGGGGUUUUGCUGGCCUGUGGUCGGCUCCUCUCAAACGAAUCAGCUUCCCAGCGUUUGGUGGAGUCACAGGUGUGAUAACUAUCUACGCUUGUGGUCUUUACCAGAUAACCUUCGGGUUCGCUGGGGCUCAUAAAUGUCUUUCCUCAGUGAAGACAGCUUUUGAAC
Molecule: unclassified non-coding RNA, 210 nt
Filed under: uncultured Thelephoraceae
Lineage: Eukaryota; Fungi; Basidiomycota; Agaricomycetes; Thelephorales; Thelephoraceae
Description: sequence contains ITS2
Source: RNAcentral